Molecule: ribosomal RNA, 409 nt
Filed under: Kwoniella mangrovensis
Lineage: Eukaryota; Fungi; Basidiomycota; Tremellomycetes; Tremellales; Cryptococcaceae
Description: partial large subunit ribosomal RNA
Rfam family: Eukaryotic large subunit ribosomal RNA
Source: RNAcentral
UAUAAGUCUCCUGGAACUGGAGUAUCAAAGAGGGUGACAAUCCCGUGCUUUACACGACGACCGGUGCUAUGUGAUACGUUCUCUACGAGUCGAGUUGUUUGGGAAUGCAGCUCAAAACGGGUGGUAAACUCCAUCUAAAGCUAAAUAUUGGUGGGAGACCGAUAGCGAACAAGUACCGUGAGGGAAAGAUGAAAAGCACUUUGGAAAGAGAGUUAAACAGUAUGUGAAAUUGUUGAAAGGGAAACGAUUGAAGUCAGUCGUGUCCAUUGGGUUCAGCCGGUCCUGCCGGUCUACUCCCUUUGGACGGGUCAACAUCAGUUCUGACCGGCGGAUAAUGGCACGAGGAACGUGGCACCCUCCGGGGUGUGUUAUAGCCUCGCGUCGCAUACGCUGGUCGGGACUGAGGAAC